GCCCCCUACCUCCCGGACGGGGCGGCUGGCCCGGCGGGGGCUGAACCCCACCUCCAGGACGGGCGCGGCUGCCGGACGGAGACGCUCCUCACUUCCCAGAAGGGGCGGCUGCUGGGCGGAGGGACUCCUCAUUUCUCAGACAGGGCAGCAGUGUCCCAGGUAAUCUCCAUGAACUGCCUUCAGAAGAAUAGAUAAAACAUCCAUCUGGACAUGGUGACAUAUCUCUCAGUCUUUUCUCCAGUAGUUUAUUCUUUCUGAUCAUUUGAUGAGAUUCCUAGGAAGGAAAUCUUAAGACAAUUGCAUCUCUUUUGGAAAGAAGUUUCGCGAGAGACCUCCCCAACACCCCCCUCUACCCUUCCUGCUUUGAGGAAGAUGAUUUUAAGCUUCAUGAAGAAGAGAACUUUGUCUUAUUCACUGCUAUAUCCAAGGAAGAAAGAGCAGAUCCCAGCAUUUUUGUAAACACCGAAUAAGUAAUCUGUGAAUGAAUAAGUGAAUAAAAGCUGAGUUGUGUUGAGAAAU
Molecule: long non-coding RNA, 519 nt
Organism: Pan troglodytes (chimpanzee)
Lineage: Eukaryota; Metazoa; Chordata; Mammalia; Primates; Hominidae
Exons: 3
Source: RefSeq, a predicted model, not a curated record